GGUUAAGCGACUAAGCGUACACGGUGGAUGCCCUGGCAGUCAGAGGCGAUGAAGGACGUGCUAAUCUGCGAAAAGCGUCGGUAAGGUGAUAUGAACCGUUACAGCCGGCGAUGUCCGAAUGGGGAAACCCAGUGCAAUUCGUUGCACUAUCGUUAACUGAAUACAUAGGUUAACGAGGCGAACCGGGGGAACUGAAACAUCUAAGUACCCCGAGGAAAAGAAAUCAACCGAGAUUCCCCCAGUAGCGGCGAGCGAACGGGGAGCAGCCCGGAGUCUGAAUCAGCUUGUGUGUUAGUGGAAGCGUCUGGAAAGUCGCAGGGUACAGGGUGAUACUCCCGUACACUAAAACGCACAGGUUGUGAACUCGAAGAGUAGGGCGGGACACGUGGUAUCCUGUCUGAAUAUGGGGGGACCAUCCUCCAAGGCUAAAUACUCCUGACUGACCGAUAGUGAACCAGUACCGUGAGGGAAAGGCGAAAAGAACCCCGGCGAGGGGAGUGAAAAAGAACCUGAAACCGUGUACGUACAAGCAGUAGGAGCCCACUUGUUGGGUGACUGCGUACCUUUUGUAUAAUGGGUCAGCGACUUAUAUUCUGUAGCAAGGUUAACCGUAUAGGGGAGCCGCAGGGAAACCGAGUCUUAACUGGGCGUUAAGUUGCAGGGUAUAGACCCGAAACCCGGUGAUCUAGCCAUGGGCAGGUUGAAGGUUGGGUAACACUAACUGGAGGACCGAACCGACUAAUGUUGAAAAAUUAGCGGAUGACUUGUGGCUGGGGGUGAAAGGCCAAUCAAACCGGGAGAUAGCUGGUUCUCCCCGAAAGCUAUUUAGGUAGCGCCUCGUGAACUCAUCUUCGGGGGUAGAGCACUGUUUCGGCUAGGGGGUCAUCCCGACUUACCAACCCGAUGCAAACUACGAAUACCGAAGAAUGUUAUCACGGGAGACACACGGCGGGUGCUAACGUCCGUCGUGAAGAGGGAAACAACCCAGACCGCCAGCUAAGGUCCCAAAGUCAUGGUUAAGUGGGAAACGAUGUGGGAAGGCCCAGACAGCCAGGAUGUUGGCUUAGAAGCAGCCAUCAUUUAAAGAAAGCGUAAUAGCUCACUGGUCGAGUCGGCCUGCGCGGAAGAUGUAACGGGGCUAAACCAUGCACCGAAGCUGCGGCAGCGACACUAUGUGUUGUUGGGUAGGGGAGCGUUCUGUAAGCCGUUGAAGGUGGCCUGUGAGGGUUGCUGGAGGUAUCAGAAGUGCGAAUGCUGACAUAAGUAACGAUAAUGCGGGUGAAAAACCCGCACGCCGGAAGACCAAGGGUUCCUGUCCAACGUUAAUCGGGGCAGGGUGAGUCGACCCCUAAGGCGAGGCCGAAAGGCGUAGUCGAUGGGAAACAGGUUAAUAUUCCUGUACUCGGUGUUACUGCGAAGGGGGGACGGAGAAGGCUAUGUUGGCCGGGCGACGGUUGUCCCGGUUUAAGCAUGUAGGCGGAUGUUCCAGGUAAAUCCGGAACGUCACUAACGCUGAGGUGUGAUGACGAGGCACUACGGUGCUGAAGUGACAAAUGCCCUGCUUCCAGGAAAAGCCUCUAAGCAUCAGGUAACAUCAAAUCGUACCCCAAACCGACACAGGUGGUCAGGUAGAGAAUACCAAGGCGCUUGAGAGAACUCGGGUGAAGGAACUAGGCAAAAUGGUGCCGUAACUUCGGGAGAAGGCACGCUGAUGGUAAGUGAAGUGACUUGCUCAUGGAGCUGAAAUCAGUCGAAGAUACCAGCUGGCUGCAACUGUUUAUUAAAAACACAGCACUGUGCAAACACGAAAGUGGACGUAUACGGUGUGACGCCUGCCCGGUGCCGGAAGGUUAAUUGAUGGGGUUAUCCUCGCGGAGAAGCUCUUGAUCGAAGCCCCGGUAAACGGCGGCCGUAACUAUAACGGUCCUAAGGUAGCGAAAUUCCUUGUCGGGUAAGUUCCGACCUGCACGAAUGGCGUAAUGAUGGCCAGGCUGUCUCCACCCGAGACUCAGUGAAAUUGAACUCGCUGUGAAGAUGCAGUGUACCCGCGGCAAGACGGAAAGACCCCGUGAACCUUUACUAUAGCUUGACACUGAACACUGGUCCUUGAUGUGUAGGAUAGGUGGGAGGCUUUGAAGUGUGGACGCCAGUCUGCAUGGAGCCAUCCUUGAAAUACCACCCUUUAAUGGCUGGUGUUCUAACGUGGGCCCGUAAUCCGGGUUGCGGACAGUGUCUGGUGGGUAGUUUGACUGGGGCGGUCUCCUCCUAAAGAGUAACGGAGGAGCACGAAGGUCAGCUAAUCCUGGUCGGACAUCAGGAGGUUAGUGCAAUGGCAUAAGCUGGCUUGACUGCGAGCGUGACGGCGCGAGCAGGUGCGAAAGCAGGUCAUAGUGAUCCGGUGGUUCUGAAUGGAAGGGCCAUCGCUCAACGGAUAAAAGGUACUCCGGGGAUAACAGGCUGAUACCGCCCAAGAGUUCAUAUCGACGGCGGUGUUUGGCACCUCGAUGUCGGCUCAUCACAUCCUGGGGCUGAAGUAGGUCCCAAGGGUAUGGCUGUUCGCCAUUUAAAGUGGUACGCGAGCUGGGUUUAGAACGUCGUGAGACAGUUCGGUCCCUAUCUGCCGUGGGCGCUGGAGAAUUGAGGGGGGCUGCUCCUAGUACGAGAGGACCGGAGUGGACGCAUCACUGGUGUUCGGGUUGUCAUGCCAAUGGCAUUGCCCGGUAGCUAAAUGCGGAAGAGAUAAGUGCUGAAAGCAUCUAAGCACGAAACUUGCCCCGAGAUGAGUUCUCCCUGACUCCUUGAGAGUCCUGAAGGAACGUUGAAGACGACGACGUUGAUAGGCCGGGUGUGUAAGCGCAGCGAUGCGUUGAGCUAACCGGUACUAAUGAACCGUGAGGCUUAACCUU
RNAcentral lists this ribosomal RNA (2906 nucleotides) under Klebsiella michiganensis. Its description in RNAcentral is "23S ribosomal RNA". It matches the Rfam family "Bacterial large subunit ribosomal RNA". The record is from RNAcentral. Lineage: Bacteria; Pseudomonadati; Pseudomonadota; Gammaproteobacteria; Enterobacterales; Enterobacteriaceae.